UGAUUGUACUGUAAGCUUCAUCAGCAUA
This 28-nucleotide non-coding RNA is filed under the name Bombyx mori (domestic silkworm). Lineage: Eukaryota; Metazoa; Arthropoda; Insecta; Lepidoptera; Bombycidae. The record is from RNAcentral.